Molecule: ribosomal RNA, 434 nt
Filed under: uncultured bacterium
Lineage: Bacteria
Description: partial 16S ribosomal RNA
Rfam family: Bacterial small subunit ribosomal RNA
Source: RNAcentral
AGCGAACGCUGGCGGCAGGCCUAACACAUGCAAGUCGAACGAACCUUUCGGGGUUAGUGGCGGACGGGUGAGUAACACGUGGGAACGUGCCUUUAGGUUCGGAAUAACUCAGGGAAACUUGUGCUAAUACCGAAUGUGCCCUUCGGGGGAAAGAUUUAUCGCCUUUAGAGCGGCCCGCGUCUGAUUAGCUAGUUGGUUGAGGUAAUGGCUCACCAAGGCGACGAUCAGUAGCUGGUCUGAGAGGAUGAUCAGCCACAUUGGGACUGAGACACGGCCCAAACUCCUACGGGAGGCAGCAGUGGGGAAUAUUGCGCAAUGGGCGAAAGCCUGACGCAGCCAUGCCGCGGGAAUGAUGAAGGUCUUAGGAUUGUAAAAUUCUUUCACCGGGGACGAUAAUGACGGUACCCGGAGAAGAAGCCCCGGCUAACUUCGCG